UGGGGAAUAUUGGACAAUGGGCGAAAGCCUGAUCCAGCAAUACCGCGUGAAUGAUGAAGGCCUUAGGGUUGUAAAGUUCUUUUAGUAGGGAAGAUAAUGACGGUACCUACAGAAAAAGCCCCGGCUAACUCCGUGCCAGCAGCCGCGGUAAGACGGAGGGGGCUAGCGUUGUUCGGAAUUACUGGGCGUAAAGAGCGCGUAGGCGGUUUUACAAGUUGGGAGUGAAAGCCCGGGGCUUAACCUCGGAAUUGCUCUCAAAACUGUAGAACUAGAGUGUGGUAGGGGAUGAUGGAAUUCCUAGUGUAGAGGUGAAAUUCUUAGAUAUUAGGAGGAACACCGGUGGCGAAGGCGGUCAUCUGGGCCACUACUGACGCUGAGGUGCGAAAGCGUGGGGAGCAAA
Molecule: ribosomal RNA, 400 nt
Filed under: uncultured bacterium
Lineage: Bacteria
Description: bacterial SSU rRNA
Rfam family: Bacterial small subunit ribosomal RNA
Source: RNAcentral